UGGCAUUACUUAUUAAUCCUAAGAAGACAUGUAGCGGAUGACUGCUCAGAAAAAGCUUCUUUGCUUGACUUGCUUUCGGCCGCACAAAAGAAAGCAAAUGGGGCCCAAGAUAAUUAGAGUAAAAAAAAAGUACAAAGAAGAAUUUUGUGUUUUUGAGUUCUUUUCCCUAGCCGCACAUCUCAUGAAAAAAGCCGCCAGAGGGUUUCCUCAAAACAAAGCUGCACAGAGAAAUAGGACCGCAUAGUGACGUCCAAAAGGGCAUGUUUUUACUAUAAAUAGUGUCUGAUUCUGCCAAUUUAGGCUGGUAAUGCCUAAUUGGAAGUCAAUAAGGAUCGGGAAAAUUCCCGAGAUGCAUUCAAUAAAUAUUAGCACAUCUCUACUUGCUAAUUGCACAAUCAAAUUACCUAACAUGCAUCACAAUUAUCUAAUAAUCACUAAUCUACUCUAAUCUAACCACUUAAUUGCACUUAAUUAAAUUUAAUGAACCCCUAAGCAUAAUUAGCAAACUAAUAAGGCAUAAGUGAGCAAAACUCACUUGGCAAAGCGAAGACUGGAACACCACAACGACGACACGAUGGCGACCGAAAUCCAAACUUUCAGCGAAGUCGGGGGAUACUCAGGCCAGGCCUACAAGCCUCACAAGCCCACAGAAAAUCACUGGGCUUGGACUUGGGCUUGGGCUACUUUACAGGCUUCAAAGAGCUGGGCCGAACAGUUGCUGCGGAAAUGGGCUUCACUGGACUUGAUGGGCUGAAGAAAGGACUAGACUGGGCUGUUCAAGAAUAACGUGGGUUGCUGAACCGGCCCCGAAACUGGGCUGAACCAAGGCUGAAAACAGGCCCAGCUGUUGGGCCAAAACUGCUGGAUUCCAUGGGCUGAAAUUGUUGGCUCGUGGACUGGAAUUGCUGGCCUUCACUUGCCGAAAAUGGGCUGAGCUGAUGGAGGUGGGCUCAAACUUGUUGGGCCGCUGAAACACCGAACUAGCUUGCUACGACAGAGACGUGAAGCUCGCUGGAUUUCUGUUUGCUUCAGUUGACGGUGAUGCUGCUCCGCUUGGUGGAUCAUUGGACAUGGCAGAUAAAUCCAGUGGACGUUGAGGAUGCUGCAGUGUUGACCAAUGGAUGGAGAUCCCGGUGGACUUGCUUCAGUGAGUGAAGCUACAAGAGAUGCUAAAGACGCAUGGAUCGGUGAAGCAGAAGGAAAUCAGUUGCUGGCGUCUUCAAUUGAGGGCUUUGUCAAGGGGGUUUUGACCGAGAGUGGAGAUGGCUGAUGGUGGCUUCGCAGGCAAGAGAUGUUGACCGAGCGGGAUAUGAGGAAGAGCUGCAGAGAAGAAGCAGCUUCGGUGCUGCUCCUACUGGUGUCUUCGAUGGAGAAUAGAUGGAGAACAAGAGCCGCAGGGAAAUUGACGAAGGAGAGAGAGAUCGUGGGGCGCUGAGCUCUUCCAUAGGACGAAGGAAAAAGUAGAACUUAAAAGAAAUGGGUUGGGGGCAGUUGUACGUGAAGAUAAG
RNAcentral lists this long non-coding RNA (1508 nucleotides) under Eucalyptus grandis. RNAcentral's name for it is "long non-coding RNA (EGRA_LNC000513)". Lineage: Eukaryota; Viridiplantae; Streptophyta; Magnoliopsida; Myrtales; Myrtaceae. The record is from RNAcentral.